Molecule: ribosomal RNA, 453 nt
Filed under: uncultured Porphyromonadaceae bacterium
Lineage: Bacteria; Pseudomonadati; Bacteroidota; Bacteroidia; Bacteroidales; Porphyromonadaceae
Description: partial 16S ribosomal RNA
Rfam family: Bacterial small subunit ribosomal RNA
Source: RNAcentral
ACGGAAGGCAGCAGUGAGGAAUAUUGGUCAAUGGGCGGGAGCCUGGACCAGCCAAGUCGCGUGAGGGACGACGGUCCUACGGAUUGUAAACCUCUUUUGCCGGGGAGUAACAAGCGGCACGUGUGCCGCCAUGAGAGUACCCGGAGAAAAAGCAUCGGCUAACUCCGUGCCAGCAGCCGCGGUAAUACGGAGGAUGCGAGCGUUAUCCGGAUUUAUUGGGUUUAAAGGGUGCGCAGGCGGCGCGUCAAGUCAGCGGUCAAAUCCCGGUGCUCAACGCCGGUCCGCCGUUGAAACUGCCGUGCUCGAGUUCGUGCGAGGAGAGCGGAAUGCGUGGUGUAGCGGUGAAAUGCAUAGAUAUCACGCAGAACGCCGAUUGCGAAGGCAGCCCUCCAGCACUGGACUGACGCUCAUGCACGAAAGCGUGGGUAUCGAACAGGAUUAGAUACCCUGGUA